This 468-nucleotide ribosomal RNA is filed under the name uncultured bacterium. RNAcentral describes it as "partial 16S ribosomal RNA". It matches the Rfam family "Bacterial small subunit ribosomal RNA", at positions 28 to 507 of the family's 1533-position model. The record is from RNAcentral.
GACGAACGCUGGCGGCGUGCUUAACACAUGCCAGUCGAACGGAAAGGCCCUGCUUUUGUGGGGUGCUCGAGUGGCGAACGGGUGAGUAACACGUGAGUAACCUGCCCUUGACUUUGGGAUAACUUCAGGAAACUGGGGCUAAUACCGGAUAGGAGCUCCUGCUGCAUGGUGGGGGUUGGAAAGUUUCGGCGGUUGGGGAUGGACUCGCGGCUUAUCAGCUUGUUGGUGGGGUAGUGGCUUACCAAGGCUUUGACGGGUAGCCGGCCUGAGAGGGUGACCGGCCACAUUGGGACUGAGAUACGGCCCAGACUCCUACGGGAGGCAGCAGUGGGGAAUAUUGCACAAUGGGCGGAAGCCUGAUGCAGCAACGCCGCGUGCGGGAUGACGGCCUUCGGGUUGUAAACCGCUUUCGCCUGUGACGAAGCGUGAGUGACGGUACUGGGUAAAGAAGCACCGGCUAACUACGUG